RNAcentral lists this unclassified non-coding RNA (415 nucleotides) under uncultured Piloderma. RNAcentral's name for it is "sequence contains ITS2". The stretch from base 1 to 155 matches the Rfam family "5.8S ribosomal RNA". The record is from RNAcentral. Lineage: Eukaryota; Fungi; Basidiomycota; Agaricomycetes; Atheliales; Atheliaceae.
AACUUUUGACAACGGAUCUCUUGGCUCUCGCAUCGAGGAAGAACGCAGCGAAAUGCGAUAAGUAAUGUGAAUUGCAGAUUUUCAGUGAAUCAUCGAAUCUUUGAACGCACCUUGCGCUCCUUGGUAUUCCGAGGAGCAUGCCUGUUUGAGCGUCAUCAAAUUCUAAACUCCAAGGGUUUCAGGACCUUUUGGAGGUUGGUCUUGGUGGUGCCGGCCGCUUAGAUGGUCAGCCCCGCUCAAAUGCAUCAGCGGAAUUCAACCUUUGGCUUCCGGACGUCAGUGUGAUAAUCAUGUUGCGCUGUCGUUUGAUCCUCAGAGUCCGCUUAUAAUGGUCUUUGGACAAAUCAUCACCACAUUUGACCUCAAAUCAGGUAGGACUACCCGCUGAACUUAAGCAUAUCAAUAAGCGGAGGCU